RNAcentral lists this long non-coding RNA (351 nucleotides) under Olea europaea (common olive). RNAcentral's name for it is "long non-coding RNA (OEUR_LNC002493)". Lineage: Eukaryota; Viridiplantae; Streptophyta; Magnoliopsida; Lamiales; Oleaceae. The record is from RNAcentral.
CCUUAUUCUCAAUCAAUUUCUCGACUCCUUUUAUGAAGUUGAUCCCAGAUUACAACAAGAAGAAAGUCUUAUUGCCAUUAAAUUAGAGGUUUUCCCCCACUCCAUUUGAUGCAUUACUAGAUCUACUAGAAAACCCAAAGCAAUUAGAUCCCUUCUACUCAAAAUGAGUCUCUGAAUACCCACAUCAAAUUAAGAUAUAUAACUGGUUCCUUGUAACACAAAGAUCUAAAAGUACAAUGAAAUUAAGUGGAAAUAGCUAAUUCUUGACACUAAUUCAACAUAUAAUCUGUAUAAAACUUCAAAAUAGUUAUUAAUCUUACAAUACCAAGUUCAAGUAAACAUGAUAAUAAU